AUUGAACGCUGGCGGCAGGCUUAACACAUGCAAGUCGAGCGGAGAGAGGUAGCUUGCUACUGAUCUUAGCGGCGGACGGGUGAGUAAUGCUUAGGAAUCUGCCUAUUAGUGGGGGACAACAUUUCGAAAGGAAUGCUAAUACCGCAUACGUCCUACGGGAGAAAGCAGGGGAUCUUCGGACCUUGCGCUAAUAGAUGAGCCUAAGUCGGAUUAGCUAGUUGGUGGGGUAAAGGCCUACCAAGGCGACGAUCUGUAGCGGGUCUGAGAGGAUGAUCCGCCGCACUGGGACUGAAACACGGCCCAGACUCCUACGGGAGGCAGCAGUGGGGAAUAUUGGACAAUGGGCGGAAGCCUGAUCCAGCCAUGCCGCGUGUGUGAAGAAGGCCUUAUGGUUGUAAAGCACUUUAAGCGAGGAGGAGGCUACUUUAGUUAAUACCUAGAGAUAGUGGACGUUACUCGCAGAAUAAGCACCGGCUAACUCUGUGCCAGCCGCCGCAGUAA
RNAcentral lists this ribosomal RNA (501 nucleotides) under uncultured bacterium. RNAcentral's name for it is "partial 16S ribosomal RNA". It matches the Rfam family "Bacterial small subunit ribosomal RNA", at positions 30 to 523 of the family's 1533-position model. The record is from RNAcentral.